CGAGCCGGCCGGGCGGUCGCGUCGGGGUCUUACCAGAUCCCGCCGAGGAACGUCCGGGCUCCACAGGGCAGGGUGGUGGGUAACGCCCACCCGGGGUGACCCGCGGGACAGUGCCACAGAAAACAGACCGCCGGGGCCUCACAGGCGCCCGGUAAGGGUGAAACGGUGGUGUAAGAGACCACCAGCGUCCGGGGUGACCCGGACGGCUCGGUAAACCCCACCUGGAGCAAGGUCAAGAGGAGCCGCACAGGAAUAGCGUGCGGCUCUGCGCGGACGUUCGAGGGCUGCCCGCCCGAGUCCGCGGGUAGACCGCACGAGGCCGGCGGCAACGCCGGUCCUAGAUGGAUGGCCGCCUCCCCGGGGACCGCGAGGACCCUGGGAGACAGAACCCGGCGUACAGGCCGACUCGUCCG
This 413-nucleotide RNase P RNA is filed under the name Streptomyces sp. B1866. Its description in RNAcentral is "RNase P RNA component class A". It matches the Rfam family "Bacterial RNase P class A". From Rfam's summary of the family: Ribonuclease P (RNase P) is a ubiquitous endoribonuclease, found in archaea, bacteria and eukarya as well as chloroplasts and mitochondria. Its best characterised activity is the generation of mature 5'-ends of tRNAs by cleaving the 5'-leader elements of precursor-tRNAs. The record is from RNAcentral. Lineage: Bacteria; Bacillati; Actinomycetota; Actinomycetes; Kitasatosporales; Streptomycetaceae.